This 253-nucleotide ribosomal RNA is filed under the name uncultured bacterium. RNAcentral describes it as "partial 16S ribosomal RNA". It matches the Rfam family "Bacterial small subunit ribosomal RNA", at positions 524 to 776 of the family's 1533-position model. The record is from RNAcentral.
AACGUAGGUCACAAGCGUUGUUCGGAAUUACUGGGCGUAAAGCGCGCGUAGGCGGUCCGAUAAGUCCCGUGUGAAAUCCCUCGGCUCAACUGAGGAAUGGCACGGGAAACUGUCGGGCUUGAGUUCGGGAGAGGGAAGCGGGAUUCCGGGUGUAGCGGUGAAAUGCGUAGAUAUCCGGAGGAACACCGGUGGCGAAGGCGGCUUCCUGGACCGACACUGACGCUGAGGCGCGAAAGCUAGGGGAGCAAACGGG